UUUUCACAUGCAGGUAUUUAUUUCAUGGACAGCUAUAGUGAAUCGGCGAUUGAUUUCCUAGCCUGCAGGUCAUUGCGCAACGUCUAUUACAUACUGAUCACAGUCUGAAUCUGCUGCAAGCUGUAAAAUAAGCCUCCUUUUUCUCUGAAGUUUUGGGCAGGAUUUCAGGUUACGAGAAGCGCGUGAUGCAGUUAAACGGACAGUGGCUUUAGCCAGGGGAUGGCACUUUCUAAUUAGUUGGGGAUAUGAUCAAUUGAUCAUGCAUUCCCAAUGUUAAAAGUGAUGGGGUCAUGGGAAAUGGCCGGGCUGUUAUCGGCCAUGCCUUCGCUGUCCAUCGGCCAUUUCAUUCCAUCAGCCAAUGGGAUGGGAGCAUUUGGAGCCUUAAUGCCGUCCUCUCUCUCCUCCUCUAUUCUCUCACUCUCUCCCCCUCAUCAUUAUCUUUUUUUUUUCUGAAAGGCCAAAAUUUUAAAAUAUAAUUUUUAAUAUUAACUUUUAGGUAUAACCUCUUUGUCUUCUUAGAAAUCAUGAAAAUAAGUAUGGGCAAUGAAAAUAACCCCUAAAACUAAUUUAGGAUUAAUUUUCUUAAAUUCAAAAAUGAAAUACAUCUUUUUAGAAACUAGCUGACAUGACUUUGCAUUGCAAUCGGUUUUUUGGCUAACCAGCUGCUUUUUUUAGGGGGGAGGUAGGGGAGGUAGUUGUGUGUUUCAUGCGAUGUGGAGAGGAAUGGACGGACUAUUCCGCUUUUAAGUAGUAGAUAAUUAAAAUAAUGUCAAGAGAGCUCUUAGACUCUGUUCUUUGUCAAGGUGGACUAUGUUCGAUGAAAUUGUUUUAAGAUUUUUUUUUAUAUAUAAUUGCUAAGUUACAAAUG
Molecule: small RNA, 868 nt
Filed under: Oryza sativa Japonica Group (Japanese rice)
Lineage: Eukaryota; Viridiplantae; Streptophyta; Magnoliopsida; Poales; Poaceae
Description: sRNA Os09g0437951
Source: RNAcentral